AACGAACGCUGGCGGCAGGCUUAACACAUGCAAGUCGAACGCCCCGCCAGGGGAGUGGCAGACGGGUGAGUAACGCGUGGGAAUCUACCCAUCCCUACGGAAUAACGCAUGGAAACGUGUGCUAAUACCGUAUACGCCCUACGGGGGAAAGAUUUAUCGGGGAUGGAUGAGCCCGCGUUGGAUUAGUUAGUUGGUGGGGUAAAGGCCUACCAAGGCGACGAUCCAUAGCUGGUCUGAGAGGAUGAUCAGCCACAUUGGGACUGAGACACGGCCCAAACUCCUACGGGAGGCAGCAGUGGGGAAUAUUGGACAAUGGGCGCAAGCCUGAUCCAGCCAUGCCGCGUGAGUGAUGAAGGCCUUAGGGUUGUAAAGCUCUUUCACCGGAGAAGAUAAUGACGGUAUCCGGAGAAGAAGCCCCGGCUAACUUCGUG
This 431-nucleotide ribosomal RNA is filed under the name uncultured bacterium. RNAcentral's name for it is "partial 16S ribosomal RNA". It matches the Rfam family "Bacterial small subunit ribosomal RNA", at positions 29 to 507 of the family's 1533-position model. The record is from RNAcentral.